ACGCAGCCUGCUGGGGGCGAGGGGUGCGCCGGGGGACUCAGUCUGUGAUCGCCCCCUUGGGCUGUUCUCUCCCACCCGCUCCUCCGCAAGGGGAGCCCGGCUGAUUGGACAAACAAAAGCCUCGAGUUAAACGUCGUCGUCGGGGAGAGAAUUGCAGGAGCUCUCGACAGCAAAUUAGGCAACUAAAGCCAAGCGCGGUGGCUUUCGGAGAUUAAAUGCAUUAUAGAUUUGCUAAACCAGAGGCGAGCCGGAGAAAAGGUGGACGGAUCAUUGUUGCUACCCUUCAGGCAGCCGGGGCGGGCUGGGACGCAAUCACGCCGGCUUGAUCGCCAGACACGCAGGCUUAAUUUCCCAUUUGCAAUCAAGACCACAUCCCCGUCCUCGGAGUCCCAGAAACACGGUCCUUCCUCGGGUUCCUUUCACAGGCCGCAUUGCGGAGAGGAGGGAAAAUUACCCGGAGAUAAUGGUGCUGAUUAUGGGACUGCAAGUGGCUGGGAAGCGCCGCGGGCGCCUGCGGAGGAGGAGCGGGAGAGGCCCGGGGCGUGCGCUGGCAGGGGCACAGGCGAGGCCGGCCGUCCGAGCUCCGGUCCCGCGGAAUUGCGCCCCCGGGCUCUGGUGCCUCAGCCCUGAACCCGGGGGAGAUGGCCCAGUUCAGGAGGCACGUCUAAAGUUUUAUUUCAACCUCACCCUUCUUCUAAUUCAAGAAAAAGAACAAAGAAUUUCAGAAUAGCUAACAGAGAAGGCUGUGGCCCAGAACGUCUGGGUACAGGAGAUGGGGUUAUGGGAGCCAGAUUCAGGGAAUCUGAGAACCUGGGUCCUGGUCCCUGUCCCGGAGGGAGACUCCCCUUCCUACGGCUGGGCCAGGCAGGGCCCCUCUGCACCUCAGAAGGGGGACAAGGACCAGGUGAGCACCAUCGUCCUCUCUGCUCCACAGCCUGGAGAGGAGAAGGUUAAAGUCCUUACGCUUCUGAAGAAAUAGCAGAAGGGGACCAGGUGCUUCUCAAUCUCUUCUGAAAAGGAGACAAAAGAAUAUUAACUGGAGUUUCAGCUUGAGGGACUCAGAUUCGACCUAAAAAAAGGAAUUAUCACAGAGGGGAGUUGUUAAAACAUGAAAUUGGAUACAACAGGAGGUUUCAAAACCUCUUUUUCUCUAGAACUUUGAAGAAUCACAGCAAUGCAUGAGUCUGAGAUGGACCGUGCGUGGGCGUCCUCGGAGGGUGGAUGCAUCCCACCACGCCCCGAGCUUCCUGACCGGAUUUAAUUCCCUCUACUAUCGAUCAAGUCCCGUCUGUGGGCCCGACUCGCGUCCAGGCCGUCGGCGCCAUGCUCCGCUUAACCCCUGAUUCAGACCUAGCAGGUUGUAGCCUGAAAAUGAGGACACAGAAGAAGGUCACCAGGAGCCUCACGUGAGAGUUGAACGCACACGGGAGUGUGGCUGGUUUCAAAAGGCACACUCUGUCCGAGGAACGCCCCCUCUCUCACCGGGAAGAGGCAGACGGGGAGGUGAGGGAGUGUUGCCUCUGGGGGCGUUUCUUCACAGCCUCACAGGGGUGACACCCAGAGCCGUGGUUCACGUCCUCCUUUGCAGAGGUGGCUGCAGAGCCCCAGGCUGGGGCUAUGGACAUGAAGAGGGGCCUCACAAGACUCCUAGCAGGCAGGAAGCACCUGGCCCUCAGGAAUUCAGAGACUGCAGUGCUGACAGCGGCCACCUGUGAUCAAAUAUUCUUUUUGCUCCUUUUUCAGGCUUGGAGAGUCACUGACAGAAGGCCACGUGCUUCCUGACGGCAUGAUGGCGCAGGCCAUUAAGUCCUGGGAGAGAGUGGCAGGGCGUGCCAGCCCUCCAAGGACAGGGAGUGGGUGGCCUCAGAGCGUCACUCACAGCCCUGGGAGCUUGAAUACCUCAAUGGCUGCAAGGACCCAGGCCCACACCCUGGCCACUCGGCCCCUGAUACGAGAGAAACCCUCCUGGUCAUGUGGCUUUCAGAGAAAGGAGCCCAACUGCCACUGCUUUUCCAAACCAACUGUCCCAGUAGAAAUAGGAGGCUGAGAUGCUCCUGGGUGCUGACUGGGAACCCCAGGCUAAAGGCCCAGAGGCACGGCUGCACAGGGCAAGUGGCAUCCACAAACUGUGGGCUUGGCAUCCUUGGGCACAGGGAACUUUUUUAUCCUCAAUUUUCUCAUCUGUAAAUGGCAGCAAUAACAAUACCUACGUCAAAGGUAAUUAGGAAGGUUAAAGGAGCCAGGGCCCCUCGAGUGUUUGGAUCUGGGCUUGCAACAUAAAAUGCACUCUCUCCGUGUUAACUGUUAUGAUUAUUACUUCCCACUACCACUACUAAAACGAGCACUAUGAAAAGAUAAAGGAAGAAGCCGUGUAAACACAGGAGGAGGAGAAACAAAGAAAAGGUUUUUUUUUCUUCUUGGUGAUAUAAUCCGUUAUCAGAAUCUCAUCCCUGGGCUCCUUCUGGGCUGUUAGAACACAGCCUUACUCUCAGGCGCAGGCUGCGGGAAGAUGGAACUGAGUCCUCCAAAGCCACCAACUGGGCGCAGCCCAGAUUAUAGCAGUGAAAGUCUCCAGUUUCAGGAGCCUCCUUAUUCCUAGCAAACUGGGAUGGCUGGUCAUCCCACAUCAGCACUCACCUCUGAGAAGACAGCAGUGAGGCCCCACAUUCUGUCACUUGUGUAGUUGCUUAGGGUGCACUGUGUUGAGUUGGCCACCCUUCCUCCCUCCCUCUCUCCCUCCCUCCUGUCUUCCCCUCCUUCUCUCCUUCCUUCCUUCAUUUAUUUUGUUUAUUUAGCUUAGAUUCUGCUCCUCCCCUCUCCCCCUUCAUUUGCUGACCAGCAGCACACACACACCUGCAACAGCAGAAACCAGGGCCAGCUAUUAAGGGAUGGGGUUGCUUGGGGAGCCUGACAAACUACCAGGCAGAGUCUGGUGUCUAGAAGGGGGUCCAGCCCAGCUCUGUUGCUUAUUGUCUCAGUCGGUUUGGGCUGCUUUAACAGAUGCCAUAGACUGGCUGGCUUAAACAACAGACAUUGAUUUCUGACAGUUCUAGAGGCUGGGAAGUCCAAGAGCAAGACAAUGGCAGAUUUUGUUGUUGGUGAGGGCCUGGCUUAGACACUGCUUCUUUCUUGCUAUAUCCUCACAGGCCAGAGAGAAUGAGCUGUGAUCCCCUUUUCCCUUUAUAAGGGUACCGUCUCAUCACGGGUCCCCCAUUCUCGUGACCCCAUCCAAGCUCAAUUAGUGACGAAAGGCUCCACCUCCAAUACCAUCACAUUGGGGAUUAGGACUUCAGUGAUAAAUUGGAGUGAGGUGGCAAAUAUUUACUCUAUAGCACUUAUUAAUACAAAGGCAUUUGAAUAUUUUCACCAAGUCCAAACUCUCUCUGAGUGUCCCUGAGGGACUAGCAAUUGGAUGCCCUUGGCUCCCUGAGGUGGCAGAGGGUAGAGAGGCGCUGCAGCUCCAAGCCUCCAGCCUUGAGUUCCCUUCCUUCCAAUAUGGGCUUAAAUAGCUGUGAGUUUCCUGGGAUUCCAGGCAAGCAGGACAGACUGUGCCUUACUGCCCGAGUGUCUGUAUGUGUUUAUUUAAGAGAAAGUGUGAAGGCCAGAGAGCAAGCAAAGGGCCAGAGUGUGGGAGAAAGCAGGCUUGUGUGUGCACAGGCAGGUGGGCAGGUCUGAUUGACAAGAUCAGAACAGAGCUCCUCGAUUCAAUCAGUCUCCCUCACCCUAGCGAACAAUUCUGAGAGGCCAAUAAGUGAGAGUGGAAGAAGGACUGGUGAGGGAAGCCAAGAUGGGGUGUUUGGGGAGGGCCCCCAAGAGAUCUGGCCCAGGACUCUGGCCAUAACCCUUCCUUGCCAUUCCUGAGAUAGGAGAUUAGGACAUGGAAGAGUGUCACAGAUUAUAUGUGGGGCCCACAAAUCCUCUGUGCCUCUGUCCUGGGAAGCUCUGACCCAGACCACAAGGUAUGGCCAGUGAAGUUCAGGUGGGGGCAGUCCUCUCCUGGCACACAGUAUGUGCUUCUAACGUGGCCGAUGUUCUGGCCCCUGAUGCAAGGGCUUUGGCUAUUUUUCCUGGUGCAUCCACCCUGAUGGGGACUUGGUAAGUUCUAGGGAAUGGUCAGCACAGCUGAGCAUCUCUCCCCUGUGUCCUGCUCUACACUGCAGAUGGAAGUCAGGAAGGAGUUCUGGAGGGAUGCUUCUAGGAUUGCGUGUUGCCUUUCAUUGGCUGCAUUCUCUGAUCUCUCCUCCUGGAGUUCACAAGGUACAGGGGAGGAAGGGCUGCUGACCUGCAUCAGCCAGAGACAACACUCUGGGCAGGAGAGCCUUGGGCACUGGUUCUCUGCCAUCUGCAACUCUCAUUGUGGAUGGGAGCUGGGCAGCAUUUGCCUUCUGGAAGCUUCAUUUGUAGCUCAUGACUCACAGGGAGAACCAGUGGAAGAGUGGGGAUGGCUAGUGCUGGGCACUCCACUUCAGGACUGAGGCAGCAAAGCAGUUCCAGGGACUCCCCAGGUCUGCUGCCCGGGAAAUCAGUUGAGCCACCCUUGGUUUUGAAGAGGCACGAGCCUGUCACGCAUGCCCCAGAUGCAGGCACCCUACCCUAACCCUAUUUAUUUGUUUUUCUUUCCCGAUGAAAAUGUAAGCUUCCUGAGAGCAAGAACUUCUUCUUUUUAAACCCUCUGUCUCCCUACCACUUAGAAGAGUGCUGGGCACAAAGCAGGUUUCAGUAAAAAUAAUCCACCAAAUGAAGGUAUGAAUCAGGGGGCAGCGUCGUUUUACAAAUGAUGAAACUGAGAUAAAGAUGGGUUCAUGAACUCACCCCUCAGUAUCCCUCCUAGCUUUUGGGGAAGCUGUGCUAACCAACAACCGUUACUCCCUGGAAGUUCUUCUACCAGUCUGACUCUCUUCCUUCCUAAUACAAGCAUGGCUUAUUUCCGCCAGUGAAGUCCAGCUGAGAAACACACUCAUCUGGAGUCCCUUCUGGAAGUGAAGUGAACGUUUCCAGGUUGCAGCAAUCCCAGAAGAGAAUGUGACAGAGAACUUGUGCUAGAUGCGAGCCCUAAGCCGGAGGAAACCAGACAAAGAGAAAGGGCUGGAUCAUUUUCACUGUUAACAGUGUGCUCAGCACCAUGUUUAGCAGAGGUUAUUUUAUCCCAUUCUCACAGUUUUUUUAAGCAUAUAUAUUAUUAUGCCCACUGUGCAGAUGAGGAAGGUAAGGCUCAAAGCUUUUUGAAAAGCAGACUUCCUGCUACUGCCUUGUGUAAAAUUUACAGCUUGCCAUUUGUUUUAGGAUAAAAUCCCCAAUCUUUAACCUAGCCCAUAAAAUCCUCCAUACUCUGAUUGCAGCCCACCCUCUUGUUCACCCUCGUCGUCUGAUCGGCCUAUUCAUCAGCUUCCUACACCCUCCCACUUCCGGGCCUUCACACAGGCUGUUUCUUCUGCUUGAACCUGACUUCUCCUUCCUUUUUUUGCCUGGACAAUUCGUAUUCAUCCCUCAGGUCUCAACACUUCUCCAGAGAAGUCUUCCUCGAACUGCCAACCCCCAUCACCCCCAUCCCCACCUCCAAUACUAGAUGAGGCUCCACUCCUAUAUAUGCUUUCCCAGUAACCUGUGUCUUCUUCAUAGCACCUCUUAUGACCGUCAUGAAGUGCUCAACUGUGUGUGUUGUUUGUCUUACUAGACUGCAAGCCCCAUCGGGACAGCGUCUGUGUCAGUCAGGAGAGACUGGGCUCGGCAGUGGAAACAUAAAUCCCAACCCUUAUGUUUCUCCUUUAUGUAACAUGUCUCGUGGGAUUGAGCAAAGGCUCUGCUCCACCUUGUCACCCAGAGAUCUAGGACAGUGGAGGCCUCAGCACCUUUUUGGCUGCACCAUGUGGAACACUGGCCUUUUCGGUGGCUGCAGCAAGGCAAGAGAAACAUUGGAGAAUCAUGUGUGCAUAGGUCAAAAGCAGGCACAGUACAGAACGGGGGCACAUACACUCUGCCCAACUGCAAGAGGGUUGGGACCUACAAGAGGAGCAGGUGGAUUAUUUGAUCUGCAUAGGAUCUUAACCAACGUGUUCCCUGUGUGUUCUCCGUGCCUAGCAUGUUGUGUGGUACAUAGUGGGAGCUCCAAAAUAUCAGCUGAAUGAAUGAGCGUGUCAGUGUAAGUCUAUCAAGAUUACGUAGCCAGCACAUGGUGAUGGGACUGGGCUUUGGACCCAAUCCUCCUGUUUGCAAAAUCUUUGGGCUUUGCACUCUGUCUUCUUGUCGCUCCUGAUUUAAACGCUUUUUCUCUCCCCAUGUAGAGAACAGAAUAUCAUGCAUUUAGCCACUUAAUAGAUUUGUUUUUCCUGAUGAAGGUGAUGAAAGUGGCAUGUCCUCCAAUCAGCCUUGCAAUCAGCCAUUCCUCCACUCACCCAAGACAAGUGGCAAUUCAAAAGCAGCUAUCGUUUCUUAAGUGCCUACUGUGUGCCAAGUGUGUGAUUCCAGCUAAGGCACACAAAAGCUCAGUGAGGUGAGCCUGUGUUUCCUGCGUUGCAAAUGAAGACACUGACACUGGGAGUGAAGCCUAGACCCGGAUGCAGAUCUGCUGGCUGAAGUCCAGAGCUCUUCCCCUAGAGCAGUCAGCGGCUCUUAUAGUAGAGCAGGCAUCAGAAUCAUCUAGAGGACCAGAGGAAGUGUAGACAGCUGGGCCUCACCCUAGUUUUCAUUCAAUAGAAGCAGAGGAGGUGGUGAGGGGGCCUGAGAAUCUACAUUUCUAAUGCACUCUCAGGUGACACCAGGUGGCAGGUCCAGUACCUUUGUUUUGAGAAUGGCUUCCCUACAGUGUGCUGUCUGGAGAGGGUGAGGAGCGCUUCCUCUGUUAACUUCAUUCUGGUGUCAUGCCUGGAGGAGCGUGGGGGUCAGGAACAUAACCUCUCGGGUGGCUGGCGUUUGGUCCUUCUCUGUGAGGCCGCCUGCAGUAGAAGUCUGUAAAAUGAAGGGGUUGGACAGGAUGAGCUCUGGGGUGCUCUGCAGAUCUGACACUCUGUGUUCUGUGAUUGGAUGAGCUAAACCAAAGCUGCAGAUUCCAUUUAAGUCUCUUCCUAGGUGGGAAGUGCUAUAGACUAAAAAUUGUGUAGCAGUAAAUACCCAGGGAAGUCAAGGAGUUAUCGAGUAGCCACUGUGUGCUCAGUCUCCUGGAGGGCUGUGGGGAACCCAAGAGAAGUGUAAGACAUGACGCUGCUACUCCAGGCACCAACAGCCUGGUUGGUUGUGGAGACAAAACACACACUUGAAACCAUGAUAGAAAAGCGUGUCAGGAUAUAACCAAGUGCUAAUCGGUGUGAAUCUGGUGAGAAGUGACCUUUGGGAUUCAGGGAGCUCCCAGGUUCCUGGAACCUAGGAAUUUGAGAACCUAUAACUAACAUUUGUGUAUAGCAUAGUAUUUUAACCCACGUGAGCCCCACAGCAUGGCGUGAGGUGGACAUUUUGAAGAGGAAGAAACAGACCCAAAGACUUGCCCAAAGUCAACUUUUAUUAAGUAAAGACAUUGAGAUUUGAACCCCAGCCUGCUGAUAACAGAGCCCUUGCUCUGCAAAUGGUGCAGAAGGUGAAGCAAGGGAGAUGGAAGGUACCAGCAAAGACGUGGCAGGUGAAUUCCACCUAGGCCAUGUGGAGAGCCUUGGGUGAAAUGAGGUGGCAGAGAGGUUGGGUGAGCGACGUGAAAAUCAACUUGAUAGAUCUGAAAAGCAGCCCUGGGGUCCCUGAGUACAAUGAAAAUAUUAACACUCAUGGGAUGGGCACAGGAGUGUUUUAUUAAGGUUGGUUCAAAAGUCGUUGUGGUUUUUGUCAUUCAAGAAAAAGCAGUGGCAAAAACCUCAACUACUUUGCAUCAACCAAAGACAUCGCUAACACGUUCGUCUCAUCCAGGGAUGUUUGCGGGGAUACGUCAGUGCACAGUAGCAGAGUUACUCUAGAUCUGGAGGCUCUGAGUCUCUGCCACGUCUCUCCAGGCCAUUAAUGGUCCAGACAUCUUUGUGUGAAUUAUAAAAAAAGAUAUCCCUUCCUCCAAGAAGUUGCAACUCUGGCCGGGCACGGUGGCUCACUACUGUAAUCCCAGCACUUUGGGAGGCCGAGGCGGGUGGAUCACCUGAGGUCAGGAGGUCAAGACCAGCCUGCCCAAAUGGUGAAACCCUGUCUCUACUAAAAAUAGAAAAAAAAUUAGCCGGGCAUGGUAAUGGGCACCUGGAAUCCCAGCUACUAGGGAAGUUGAGGCAGGAGAAUCACUUGAACCUAGGAGGCGGAGGUUUCAGUGAGCUGAGAUCUUGCCACUGCACUCCAGCCUGGGCAGCAAGAGCAAAACUCUGUCUCAAAAAAAUAAUAAAAAAAGAAGUUGCAACUCCAUGUCAGGACACAAAGCUUGGCUAGAGGGUGGGCUGGAUCGCUGUCCCCAUCCAUCCAGACAUACCCUUUUAUCUUAUAGCCUGGUCAAUGCCUAAAUCUGUACCACUGCAUCUUGUAGGCUUGAGUCCCUACCACCGUGUGUGCAUGCACAGCACCACACACACACACACACACACACACACGUGUGCAUAAACCAACACCUUCUCCUUGCCCCAGGGAAUUCUUUACUUGUGGGGUGGGGGAUACCAGAAACCUCUGUGACUUCAAGCCAUUUCAUUUCCUCCUUCCCAGCAGGCUUUUUAACAGAAUUUCUUCUAAGAGGGUUUGUGGCGGGGCUGGAAGCAGCGACUAGAAUGAAAUCCACAAGGUCAGGGAGAAGCAGAGCAGGUGACGCUGUAUCUAUCUGACUCCAGGGAUACAGUAACAAAGGAGAUGGUGCAGAGAGGCACCAAGUCAAGGACAGAUGAGGCUUGGGAGGCUCUACCUUCCCCCAUCAGACUGUUAACAUGGAAUACAAAGCUUAAGUCUUUAUUACCGAAAAAAGAAAAAGUAGCAGGAGAAGAGCGGGAGCCAGUAAGAGGGGAGAGACGAGAGAGCCACACGCUGAAAUCAAUACUGCCCAGGACAAGCAUUAUCCCAUGUGGAACACCUCAAGCCUCUGCCUAGAAAAUUUGAUUGGAUCUUCAGAAAAACCUAUUAGUGUGUUGUCAGGACCUUCUGGUGAUAACUGACCAGCUCUUGCCAAUCGAUGCUCUUCACUUGUGGAGCUCCUGAUUUUUUAACAGCAUAAUUGUUUUUUUAAUAACGGGCUGGCUCACCCACUCCAGCAAGCAGGGAGUCAAAGUCAGACUCCUAACUUAAAAUAUAGAGAAACGCGAUGCUGCAGCCACUUCUUCCUAAUUGCACAAUUACUUUAUGGAGCACCAGGGAUGGAAGGCUGCAGUGGGGGUGCGUUUUUGUUUUCUUUUUUUCAGCCAAGCGAGGUUGUUAAGAAAAGUCACAGAAGUAAUUACACAUGUCAAAAUUAUUUACUAAAUGAAAGCCAUUCUUCACCAAAGAGUCUUUAUUUAUUUUUUAUAAAGAAAAAGGGCAAAAAUUGGAUGAUUCCAGGAUGGCGACAUCAUAAAGCAACAAUGGAAUUAGUCUUCACUUAUUACAGCUUUUUAAUUUUCAACUCAAGAGGGAGCAACGCAUAUUUUCCUUAGGGUUUUAAAUGCACUAUAACAACAGCAGUGUUCUUGCUCUUUACCGUGCCUAGGAUCUGAGCUGUCAAAGUACUUUACAAAUAACUUUGGGAUUGAGGCUCUGUACAGCUGGAGAGCAGGGCCCAGGGAGGAAGCGAUUUGCCCAAGGUCACGGCUGAAUCAGAGGCACAGCUGGAAACACUACUCAUGAAUACUGGUUCCUGGAGUCAGAGCUCAUCACCACCAGCCUGCCCACCUCCCACACACACCAAAACAAAACCCCAAAGCCAGAAAACAGCAGCGGGCAGAGAGGUCACCUGCCCUACACAGCCCAGGGUGUUCACACUGACAAUUUGCUGUACAGAUCGGAAGCUGGAUGUGCAGGUCAGAGACCUUACAGAUUGCCGUUGCUGGACCCAGGAGAAUCAGUCACUAAGGAAACCUAAAAGUUCACUCUGCAUAGUUGGGCAGCUCAGCUCUCCAUCCAGAGCCCCCAGGUGUGUAUGUCAGAUUCUGGGGUUGAUGGUUGAGGGGUUGAUGGUUCAUGCGACAGUUUGCUCCGCCCACCUGGCAGGUCUGGUUCUUCUCUGGGCUGGCUCCCUCCAGAACUUGUUCUCGUGCUCAGAGUUGGAGUGCAAGACUCAGAGCAGAGAGAGCGAGAAAGAGAGGGAGAGAAAGAGGAAAAGAAAAGAAGGAAGACAGAGGAUAGACUGUUUGGAAACCUGUGCAGUCCCUAGAACCUCUUCUUAUGAAGACUCCAUUCCACCCUAUGCUACAUACAUUAGGGUCCCACAUUGAGUACAGUUUCUGAUUAUUUACCAGUUCAGUUAGGCUGAAGUCUGCUGGUGACAUUAUUAUGGUUUAGUAGAUAUUUAAUUAAACAUUUAAUACAUCUGA
This is a long non-coding RNA of Callithrix jacchus (white-tufted-ear marmoset), 10442 nucleotides long. RefSeq lists it as uncharacterized. The record is from RefSeq and is a predicted model, not a curated record. Lineage: Eukaryota; Metazoa; Chordata; Mammalia; Primates; Cebidae.